Molecule: ribosomal RNA, 434 nt
Filed under: uncultured Eubacterium sp.
Lineage: Bacteria; Bacillati; Bacillota; Clostridia; Eubacteriales; Eubacteriaceae
Description: bacterial SSU rRNA
Rfam family: Bacterial small subunit ribosomal RNA
Source: RNAcentral
AACGCGAAGAACCUUACCAAAUCUUGACAUCCCGAUGACAGACUGUGUAAAGCAGUUUCUCUUCGGAGCAUCGGUGACAGGUGGUGCAUGGUUGUCGUCAGCUCGUGUCGUGAGAUGUUGGGUUAAGUCCCGCAACGAGCGCAACCCUUGUCUUUAGUAGCCAGCAUUUAGGAUGGGCACUCUAGAGAGACUGCCAGGGAUAACCUGGAGGAAGGUGGGGAUGACGUCAAAUCAUCAUGCCCCUUAUGAUUUGGGCUACACACGUGCUACAAUGGCGUAAACAAAGAGAAGCAAAGGAGUGAUCCGGAGCAAAUCUCAAAAAUAACGUCUCAGUUCGGAUUGUAGUCUGCAACUCGACUACAUGAAGCUGGAAUCGCUAGUAAUCGCGAAUCAGAAUGUCACGGUGAAUACGUUCCCGGGUCUUGUACACACGC